Molecule: ribosomal RNA, 564 nt
Filed under: Streptomyces sp. 413A11
Lineage: Bacteria; Bacillati; Actinomycetota; Actinomycetes; Kitasatosporales; Streptomycetaceae
Description: bacterial SSU rRNA
Rfam family: Bacterial small subunit ribosomal RNA
Source: RNAcentral
UAGUGGCGAACGGGUGAGUAACACGUGGGCAAUCUGCCCUUCACUCUGGGACAAGCCCUGGAAACGGGGUCUAAUACCGGAUAUCACUUCUGCUCGCAUGGGUGGGGGUUGAAAGCUCCGGCGGUGAAGGAUGAGCCCGCGGCCUAUCAGCUUGUUGGUGAGGUAGUGGCUCACCAAGGCGACGACGGGUAGCCGGCCUGAGAGGGCGACCGGCCACACUGGGACUGAGACACGGCCCAGACUCCUACGGGAGGCAGCAGUGGGGAAUAUUGCACAAUGGGCGGAAGCCUGAUGCAGCGACGCCGCGUGAGGGAUGACGGCCUUCGGGUUGUAAACCUCUUUCAGCAGGGAAGAAGCGUAAGUGACGGUACCUGCAGAAGAAGCGCCGGCUAACUACGUGCCAGCAGCCCGCGGUAAUACGUAGGGCGCAAGCGUUGUCCGGAAUUAUUGGGCGUAAAGAGCUCGUAGGCGGCUUGUCACGUCGGGUGUGAAAGCCCGGGGCUUAACCCCGGGUCUGCAUUCGAUACGGGCUGGCUGGAGUGUGGUAGGGGAGAUCGGAUUNCU